UGAAUAUACUAGCAGUUACGUUCAGGGACGUCUAGUGCAGGAUUCUCCAUAUGCCAACGUCAGGAAGGAGCCUGAACAGUUAUCGAGGAAAGGGGCUGGACAGAUCGUGGCAUAUUCAUCCUGCCUUGUCGACGGGUUGCUGGCAUGGGGGACACGUGGCACCCAGGCCAGUGGACUUGGAGGAGUCCCAUCACAGGCGAGUCCUGCUCCCUGCACCGCGGUGAGGUCGGCUGUGCUCAAGGAGCUCACGCUGUCCUUUAAGGAAAUGGAAUUCAGGGUGCACCGACUGAUUCACUGUUUUAUUUUCUCCGGCCUGUUUCCACCGAGCAGCUAAGUAGCAGCUUGAAACCCUCCAAAUGUCCCCAGCAACGUCACCCUCCGAGCUCCCGACAUCGUCCCACCAUGCUCUCCCAGAAGACGUCCUUCUGCAGGUGCCCACAGAGAAUGCUGACUCUGUGAGGAUGAGGUUUUCCUGGCAACCCGGUCUGCUGGUCACGGUCUCCUUCCACACCCAGCCCUGCACACCCUAGUUGAGGGGGACCCAGGAGAGGACAUCAUGGUCCUGCAGAGUGUGGGUUGGGGAGGAUGGGCCUGAGCACCAGGCCGCUGGUAACACCGUGGUUGGAAGGGGACAAACAGAGGUCGUGUUUCCGCUCUGGGCCACUGAGAAGGCAUGUGGCAGACGGACAUUUUCCGCAUCACACUGUCUGUGAAAACUGCAGACACUUCCUAUGGCAUCCAUUCCUGUGCGCUAGGAAUGUCAGAAGGUGGAACUGGCCUCCACAGGGCCGGACGUCACAAGGACCUCACUAGGCUGCCCUUCUGGGCCCUGUGACGCUCCUGGUGUAAUGGCAAGACAGCGGCACUCUGUGUGCCCAGCUUCUUCAUCCAGAAAGACACUGGAGAAUCCAGGACCAGCGGAGUCAUGCCGGUUUCACCAGCCCCUUCCUACUUCGCCUAGGCCUGCCAAUCCCACUUUACAACAAUGGCCAUUCAGAAUUCUCUUCCCGGGAGCUGGGUAUUUCCCUCCCUUUUUAGGAAGUUCGCUUCUGGUAUCUUCUUCACCAUCAGAAAGUUAGGACCCAAAUUGCCCACAGGUACACCAUGCCCUGGGAAAUGCCAGGACCCUGUUCCGGUAGAUCACAAAGGCUGGGAUGGGACAUGGCCACCCCUCACGGCCCCGCUGAGCUGCUCUCACAAGGCCAUCAACGCUGCCCACACGCAUGUGCGGAACAUAUUUUCUGAUAACAGCUCUACGCAGACAUGGUACCCGUGGCCGAUAAAGUAGGGCCUCUUGUGGAAAGCCCUGCAGAGCUGUACAAAUCACAACCCGGGAGCGCUGUAUUAGAGGAAAGCUAAUUAAAAAUGACAUGGGAAACAUUGUGCUGCCGGCUGGUGAGUUCCGUCUUGGCUUCCUCAAAGAGAUGCUCCCUGUGCUCGUUCUCUAGCUCCCCCGGAAGACCAGCGGGGCCUCCCUGCCUUCCUGCCGUUCGACUUCCUGCUCACCGGCUCCGAACCCUCCUUCCGAAAUCCUCCUGCAGGCUUUAGGCAGGAGGCAUUUAGG
Lutra lutra (Eurasian river otter) is the source of this 1564-nucleotide long non-coding RNA. RefSeq lists it as uncharacterized. The record is from RefSeq and is a predicted model, not a curated record. NCBI's taxonomy places the organism in Eukaryota, Metazoa, Chordata, Mammalia, Carnivora, Mustelidae. The transcript is spliced from 3 exons.